This 101-nucleotide microRNA precursor is filed under the name Marmota monax (woodchuck). Lineage: Eukaryota; Metazoa; Chordata; Mammalia; Rodentia; Sciuridae. The record is from RNAcentral.
AGUGGAAUAACUGGGUCAAAUGGUGGUUCCAUUCCAAGUUUUUUGAGGACUCUCCUACUGCUUUCCAGAGUGGUUACACCAGUUGCAGUCCCAUCAGCAAU